Long non-coding RNA from Oncorhynchus kisutch (coho salmon), 1740 nucleotides. RefSeq lists it as uncharacterized. NCBI's taxonomy places the organism in Eukaryota, Metazoa, Chordata, Actinopteri, Salmoniformes, Salmonidae. The transcript is spliced from 2 exons. The record is from RefSeq and is a predicted model, not a curated record.
GGGGAGAGAGACCAGAACACCAAGGUUGAUGAGUGGAGGGGGAGGGGUGGUGGGAGAGGAUGUUAGUGUGAGAAUGUUGGUGCUGCUGAUGAGAGUUUGUAAAGGAGGUGUGUCUCCUUUUAAAUCAGGUAUUUAGGGCUGCUGGCACCCUAUUCCCUUCAUAGUGCACUACUGUUGACCAGAGCUCUAUGGAGCCCUGGUCAAAAGUAGUGCACUAUGUAGGGAAUAGGGUGCCAUUUUGAUGCUGUCUAAAGCAUCUACUGCACUAAUUACUCCUAGUCUUAUUUAACUCCAGAUGUAUUUUAUAUUAUAAGAGUAAAAUAAAACACUCACAUUUUCAGGAUGAAUUGAUUGUUUAUACAUUCCGACUAAUGUGUAGCGAGAUUAUGUCAAUGCAUUUAUUUUCAUUGAAAACAUUCCGUAUUUAUUCUUAGUUUAGUAUUCUAGGUCAUUUUUUUACUCUGGUAAUGUGCCAUUUCCCCCCUAAAAACCUGCUAACCCCAAACCUACAGUACAGUAUCUAACUGCCAGAGAAGUACUAGAAGUAUAGAAGUACUGUAUUCAGUACAGUAUCUAACUGUCAGAGAAGUACUAGAGUAUAGAGGUACUGUAUUCAGUACAGUAUCUAACUGUCAGAGAAGUACUAGAGUAUAGAGGUACUGUAUUCAGUACAGUAUCUAACUGUCGGAGAAGUACUAGAGUAUAGAGGUACUGUAUUCAGUACAGUAUCUAACUGUCGGAGAAGUACUAGAGUAUAGAGGUACUGUAUUCAGUACAGUAUCUAACUGUCAGAGAAGUACUAGAGUAUAGAGGUACUGUAUUCAGUACAGUAUCUAACUGCCAGAGAAGUACUAGAGUAUAGAGGUACUGUAUUCAGUACAGUAUCUAACUGUCAGAGAAGUACUAGAGUAUAGAGGUACUGUAUUCAGUACAGUAUCUAACUGUCGGAGAAGUACUAGAGUAUAGAGGUACUGUAUUCAGUACAGUAUCUAACUGUCAGAGAAGUACUAGAGUAUAGAGGUACUGUAUUCAGUACAGUAUCUAACUGUCAGAGAAGUACUAGAGUAUAGAGGUACUGUAUUCAGUACAGUAUCUAACUGCCAGAGAAGUACUAGAGUAUAGAGGUACUGUAUUCAGUACAGUAUCUAACUGUCAGAGAAGUACUAGAAGUAUAGAGGUACUGUAUUUAUUUAACCUUUUUAUUUAGCAUUACGUUUGAAAGAUUCCCCUAACUUUCCCCAAAUUCCCAGGUUUUCCUUCAGAAAUCCUGGUUAGAAUAUUCCCUGAAUCUGGAAGGAAGAAGCAGGAAAUCAGGGAAUCCUCCAUCUGGGAAUUCUGAAAUACAAAAGGAAUUUCUCAACUUUAUUGAGAGCUUUUAUUUUUUAACAAUAACAACCUGGUAUUAUCCUGGUUUAUCUUCUUAGAACCUAUUUUUUUAAUUCUCCUUUAAUUUCAUAGACUGAUUUUUUGUUGUGCCAUAAUGGAAGAAAUAAGAAAACAAUUGAUUCUAAAUCAGGACCGUAGUUCGUCAUAUUGUUAUGCUUGAUUGCAUUUGAUUUGUGUUGAGUGUUGACUACUACUGAAGUUGUUGAAUGUACAAUGUACCUAAAUGUCCGGGGAUGUGUCUCAAAUGGAACGCUAUAGACUAAGUAGUGCACUACUUUUUGACUAGGGCUAUGUGGGACGUAUCCCCAAUGUUCCUUUCAUAAUAAUAAUAAAGGCCCAGUUGAUUUGAAUGUG